This 73-nucleotide transfer RNA is filed under the name Trichonephila inaurata madagascariensis. It matches the Rfam family "tRNA". From Rfam's summary of the family: Transfer RNA (tRNA) molecules are approximately 80 nucleotides in length. Their secondary structure includes four short double-helical elements and three loops (D, anti-codon, and T loops). Further hydrogen bonds mediate the characteristic L-shaped molecular structure. tRNAs have two regions of fundamental functional importance: the anti-codon, which is responsible for specific mRNA codon recognition, and the 3' end, to which the tRNAs corresponding amino acid is attached (by aminoacyl-tRNA synthetases). tRNAs cope with the degeneracy of the genetic code in two manners: having more than one tRNA (with a specific anti-codon) for a particular amino acid; and 'wobble' base-pairing, i.e. permitting non-standard base-pairing at the 3rd anti-codon position. Lineage: Eukaryota; Metazoa; Arthropoda; Arachnida; Araneae; Nephilidae. The record is from Rfam by way of RNAcentral.
GUCCCUGUAGCGCAAUGCAUAGCGCGUUGGACUUCUAAUCCAAAGGUCGGGGAUUCGAAUCCCACCUGGGAUG